Molecule: ribosomal RNA, 485 nt
Filed under: uncultured bacterium
Lineage: Bacteria
Description: partial 16S ribosomal RNA
Rfam family: Bacterial small subunit ribosomal RNA
Source: RNAcentral
AUUGAACGCUGGCGGAAUGCUUUACACAUGCAAGUCGAGCGGCAGCGCGGCCUUCGGGCUGGCGGCGAGCGGCGAACGGGUGAGUAAUGCAUCGGAACAUGCCCAGUCGUGGGGGAUAACACUUCGAAAGAAGUGCUAAUACCGCAUACGUCCUGAGGGGGAAAGCGGGGGAUCGCAAGACCUCGCGCGAUUGGAGUGGCCGAUGUCAGAUUAGCUAGUUGGUGGGGUAAAGGCCUACCAAGGCGACGAUCUGUAGCUGGUCUGAGAGGAUGAUCAGCCACACUGGGACUGAGACACGGCCCAGACUCCUACGGGAGGCAGCAGUGGGGAAUUUUGGACAAUGGGGGCAACCCUGAUCCAGCCAUUCCGCGGGAGUGAAGAAGGCCUUCGGGUUGUAAAGCUCUUUCGGCAGGAACGAAACGGUGGGCUCUAACAUAGUCCGCUAAUGACGGUACCUGAAGAAGAAGCACCGGCUAACUACGUGC